GCUCCUACGGGGCGCAGCAGUCGGGAAUAUUGCACAAUGGAGGAAACUCUGAUGCAGUGACACCGCGUAUAGGAAGAAGGUUUUCGGAUUGUAAACUAUUUUAGACAGGGAAGAAAAAAGACAGUACCUGUAGAAUAAGCUCCGGCUAACUACGUGCCAGCAGCCGCGGUAAUACGUAGGGAGCAAGCGUUAUCCGGAAUUAUUGGGUGUAAAGGGCUCGUAGGCGGUUCGUCGCGUCCGGUGUGAAAGUCCAUCGCUUAACGGUGGAUCCGCGCCGGGUACGGGCGGGCUUGA
This 294-nucleotide ribosomal RNA is filed under the name uncultured bacterium. RNAcentral's name for it is "partial 16S ribosomal RNA". It matches the Rfam family "Bacterial small subunit ribosomal RNA", at positions 335 to 645 of the family's 1533-position model. The record is from RNAcentral.